This 2825-nucleotide ribosomal RNA is filed under the name Klebsiella pneumoniae. RNAcentral describes it as "partial 23S ribosomal RNA". It matches the Rfam family "Bacterial large subunit ribosomal RNA". Lineage: Bacteria; Pseudomonadati; Pseudomonadota; Gammaproteobacteria; Enterobacterales; Enterobacteriaceae. The record is from RNAcentral.
GGGUUGUGAGGUUAAGCGACUAAGCGUACACGGUGGAUGCCCUGGCAGUCAGAGGCGAUGAAGGACGUGCUAAUCUGCGAAAAGCGUCGGUAAGGUGAUAUGAACCGUUAUAACCGGCGAUGUCCGAAUGGGGAAACCCAGUGUGAUUCGUCACACUAUCGUUAACUGAAUACAUAGGUUAACGAGGCGAACCGGGGGAACUGAAACAUCUAAGUACCCCGAGGAAAAGAAAUCAACCGAGAUUCCCCCAGUAGCGGCGAGCGAACGGGGAGCAGCCCAGAGUCUGAAUCAGCUUGUGUGUUAGUGGAACGGUCUGGAAAGUCCGACGGUACAGGGUGAUAGUCCCGUACACCAAAAUGCACAGGUUGUGAACUCGAAGAGUAGGGCGGGACACGUGGUAUCCUGUCUGAAUAUGGGGGGACCAUCCUCCAAGGCUAAAUACUCCUGACUGACCGAUAGUGAACCAGUACCGUGAGGGAAAGGCGAAAAGAACCCCGGCGAGGGGAGUGAAAAAGAACCUGAAACCGUGUACGUACAAGCAGUGGGAGCACCUUCGGGUGUGACUGCGUACCUUUUGUAUAAUGGGUCAGCGACUUAUAUUCUGUAGCAAGGUUAACCGUAUAGGGGAGCCGCAGGGAAACCGAGUCUUAACUGGGCGUUAAGUUGCAGGGUAUAGACCCGAAACCCGGUGAUCUAGCCAUGGGCAGGUUGAAGGUUGGGUAACACUAACUGGAGGACCGAACCGACUAAUGUUGAAAAAUUAGCGGAUGACUUGUGGCUGGGGGUGAAAGGCCAAUCAAACCGGGAGAUAGCUGGUUCUCCCCGAAAGCUAUUUAGGUAGCGCCUCGUGAACUCAUCUUCGGGGGUAGAGCACUGUUUCGGCUAGGGGGUCAUCCCGACUUACCAACCCGAUGCAAACUACGAAUACCGAAGAAUGUUAUCACGGGAGACACACGGCGGGUGCUAACGUCCGUCGUGAAGAGGGAAACAACCCAGACCGCCAGCUAAGGUCCCAAAGUCAUGGUUAAGUGGGAAACGAUGUGGGAAGGCACAGACAGCCAGGAUGUUGGCUUAGAAGCAGCCAUCAUUUAAAGAAAGCGUAAUAGCUCACUGGUCGAGUCGGCCUGCGCGGAAGAUGUAACGGGGCUAAACCAUGCACCGAAGCUGCGGCAGCGACACUAUGUGUUGUUGGGUAGGGGAGCGUUCUGUAAGCCUGCGAAGGUGUGCUGUGAGGCAUGCUGGAGGUAUCAGAAGUGCGAAUGCUGACAUAAGUAACGAUAAAGCGGGUGAAAAGCCCGCUCGCCGGAAGACCAAGGGUUCCUGUCCAACGUUAAUCGGGGCAGGGUGAGUCGACCCCUAAGGCGAGGCCGAAAGGCGUAGUCGAUGGGAAACAGGUUAAUAUUCCUGUACUUGGUGUUACUGCGAAGGGGGGACGGAGAAGGCUAUGUUAGCCGGGCGACGGUUGUCCCGGUUUAAGCAUGUAGGCUGAUUGUCCAGGCAAAUCCGGAUAAUCAAGGCUGAGGUGUGAUGACGAGGCACUACGGUGCUGAAGUAACAAAUGCCCUGCUUCCAGGAAAAGCCUCUAAGCAUCAGGUAACAUCAAAUCGUACCCCAAACCGACACAGGUGGUCAGGUAGAGAAUACCAAGGCGCUUGAGAGAACUCGGGUGAAGGAACUAGGCAAAAUGGUGCCGUAACUUCGGGAGAAGGCACGCUGGUGUGUAGGUGAAGUCCCUGCGGAUGGAGCUGAGACCAGUCGAAGAUACCAGCUGGCUGCAACUGUUUAUUAAAAACACAGCACUGUGCAAACACGAAAGUGGACGUAUACGGUGUGACGCCUGCCCGGUGCCGGAAGGUUAAUUGAUGGGGUUAUCCGUAAGGAGAAGCUCUUGAUCGAAGCCCCGGUAAACGGCGGCCGUAACUAUAACGGUCCUAAGGUAGCGAAAUUCCUUGUCGGGUAAGUUCCGACCUGCACGAAUGGCGUAAUGAUGGCCAGGCUGUCUCCACCCGAGACUCAGUGAAAUUGAACUCGCUGUGAAGAUGCAGUGUACCCGCGGCAAGACGGAAAGACCCCGUGAACCUUUACUAUAGCUUGACACUGAACAUUGAGCCUUGAUGUGUAGGAUAGGUGGGAGGCUUUGAAGCGUGGACGCCAGUCUGCGUGGAGCCAACCUUGAAAUACCACCCUUUAAUGUUUGAUGUUCUAACGUUGGCCCCUUACCGGGGUUGCGGACAGUGUCUGGUGGGUAGUUUGACUGGGGCGGUCUCCUCCCAAAGCGUAACGGAGGAGCACGAAGGUUAGCUAAUCCUGGUCGGACAUCAGGAGGUUAGUGCAAUGGCAUAAGCUAGCUUGACUGCGAGCGUGACGGCGCGAGCAGGUGCGAAAGCAGGUCAUAGUGAUCCGGUGGUUCUGAAUGGAAGGGCCAUCGCUCAACGGAUAAAAGGUACUCCGGGGAUAACAGGCUGAUACCGCCCAAGAGUUCAUAUCGACGGCGGUGUUUGGCACCUCGAUGUCGGCUCAUCACAUCCUGGGGCUGAAGUAGGUCCCAAGGGUAUGGCUGUUCGCCAUUUAAAGUGGUACGCGAGCUGGGUUUAGAACGUCGUGAGACAGUUCGGUCCCUAUCUGCCGUGGGCGCUGGAGAAUUGAGGGGGGCUGCUCCUAGUACGAGAGGACCGGAGUGGACGCAUCACUGGUGUUCGGGUUGUCAUGCCAAUGGCACUGCCCGGUAGCUAAAUGCGGAAGAGAUAAGUGCUGAAAGCAUCUAAGCACGAAACUUGCCCCGAGAUGAGUUCUCCCUGAGACUUUAAGUCUCCUGAAGGAACGUU